This 482-nucleotide ribosomal RNA is filed under the name uncultured bacterium. RNAcentral's name for it is "partial 16S ribosomal RNA". It matches the Rfam family "Bacterial small subunit ribosomal RNA", at positions 30 to 507 of the family's 1533-position model. The record is from RNAcentral.
AUUGAACGCUGGCGGCAGGCCUAACACAUGCAAGUCGAGCGGAUGAAGGGAGCUUGCUCCUGGAUUCAGCGGCGGACGGGUGAGUAAUGCCUAGGAAUCUGCCUGGUAGUGGGGGAUAACGUCCGGAAACGGGCGCUAAUACCGCAUACGUCCUGAGGGAGAAAGUGGGGGAUCUUCGGACCUCACGCUAUCAGAUGAGCCUAGGUCGGAUUAGCUAGUUGGUGGGGUAAAGGCCUACCAAGGCGACGAUCCGUAACUGGUCUGAGAGGAUGAUCAGUCACCCUGGAACUGAGACACGGUCCAGACUCCUACGGGAGGCAGCAGUGGGGAAUAUUGGACAAUGGGCGAACGCCUGAUCCAGCCAUGCCGCGUGUGUGAAGAAGGUCUUCGGAUUGUAAAGCACUUUGAGUGGAGGAAGGGCAGUAAGUUAAUACCUUGCUGUUUUGACGUUACCAACAGAAUAAGCACCGGCUAACUUCGUG